This is a small nucleolar RNA of Dioscorea cayenensis subsp. rotundata (Guinea yam), 107 nucleotides long. NCBI's taxonomy places the organism in Eukaryota, Viridiplantae, Streptophyta, Magnoliopsida, Dioscoreales, Dioscoreaceae. The record is from RefSeq and is a predicted model, not a curated record.
AACCCAUGCCAUGGACAUUUCUGUAGGAGAUCCUUGAACCUAUCCUAUAUCUCAUAAAGAGACUCCAAUUUCAUUCACACAAAAGAGGAUAUUUCAUUCCUGAGCUU